Molecule: transfer RNA, 72 nt
Filed under: Cellulomonas oligotrophica
Lineage: Bacteria; Bacillati; Actinomycetota; Actinomycetes; Micrococcales; Cellulomonadaceae
Description: tRNA-Pro
Rfam family: tRNA
About the family: Transfer RNA (tRNA) molecules are approximately 80 nucleotides in length. Their secondary structure includes four short double-helical elements and three loops (D, anti-codon, and T loops). Further hydrogen bonds mediate the characteristic L-shaped molecular structure. tRNAs have two regions of fundamental functional importance: the anti-codon, which is responsible for specific mRNA codon recognition, and the 3' end, to which the tRNAs corresponding amino acid is attached (by aminoacyl-tRNA synthetases). tRNAs cope with the degeneracy of the genetic code in two manners: having more than one tRNA (with a specific anti-codon) for a particular amino acid; and 'wobble' base-pairing, i.e. permitting non-standard base-pairing at the 3rd anti-codon position.
Source: RNAcentral
CAGCGUGUAGCUCAGCAGCAGAGCACCGGGCUUGGGACUCGGAGGGCGCAGGGGCAGCACCUGCCGCGCUGG